Molecule: ribosomal RNA, 400 nt
Filed under: phytoplankton environmental sample
Lineage: Eukaryota
Description: partial small subunit ribosomal RNA
Rfam family: Eukaryotic small subunit ribosomal RNA
Source: RNAcentral
AGCUCCAAUAGCGUAUACUAAAGUUGUUGCGGUUAAAAAGCUCGUAGUUGGAUCUUGGAAUGUGUUCAAGCGGGUCAGCUUCUGGCUGUGCGCUGCUUGACGUGUUCUUCUAUUUGGUUUUGGUGCGGUGCGCUUAACUGCGUGUCGCUCCCGGCCGAAACGUUUACCUUGAAAAAAUUAGAGUGUUCAAAGCAGACCUGUUUGAGUCUGAAUAUUCGUGCAUGGAAUAAUGAAAUAUGAAUUCGGUUCUAUUUUGUUGGUUUUCGGAACUCGAGUUAAUGAUCAAGAGGGACAGACGGGGGCAUUCGUACUCUGCCGUUAGAGGUGAAAUUCUUGGAUCGGCGGAAGACGCGCAACUGCGAAAGCAUUUGCCAAGAAUGUUUUCUUUAAUCAAGAACGA